AAAGGAAUAGACGGGGGCCCGCACAAGCAGCGGAGCAUGUGGUUUAAUUCGAAGCAACGCGAAGAACCUUACCAGGGCUUGACAUCCCUUGAAGUGCAUAGAAAUAUGUACGUCCUUCGGGACAAGGAGACAGGUGGUGCAUGGUUGUCGUCAGCUCGUGUCGUGAGAUGUUGGGUUAAGUCCCGCAACGAGCGCAACCCUUAUGGUUAGUUGCCAGCACGAAAGGUGGGAACUCUAAUCAGACUGCCGGGGAUAACUCGGAGGAAGGUGGGGACGACGUCAAAUCAUCAUGCCCCUUAUGUCCUGGGCUACACACGUGCUACAAUGGCCGGUACAGAGAGCAGCGAAGCCGCGAGGUGAAGCGAAUCUCACAAAACCGGUCCCAGUUCGGAUCGUGGGCUGCAACCCGCCCACGUGAAGCCGGAGUUGCUAGUAAUCGCGAAUCAGCAUGUCGCGGUGAAUGCGUUCCCGGGCCUUGUACACACCGCCCGU
RNAcentral lists this ribosomal RNA (492 nucleotides) under uncultured bacterium. Its description in RNAcentral is "bacterial SSU rRNA". It matches the Rfam family "Bacterial small subunit ribosomal RNA", at positions 903 to 1397 of the family's 1533-position model. The record is from RNAcentral.